Molecule: ribosomal RNA, 231 nt
Filed under: uncultured bacterium
Lineage: Bacteria
Description: partial 16S ribosomal RNA
Rfam family: Bacterial small subunit ribosomal RNA
Source: RNAcentral
CCUAGCGGCAGACGGGUGAGUAUAAUGUGGGAAUCUGCCUUUUGGUUCGGAACAACACGGGGAAACCUGUGCUAAUACCGGAUAAGUCCUAACGGAGAAAGUUUUAAUGCCAAAAGAUGAGCCCGCAUUUGAUUAGCUAGUUGGUAAGGUAAAGGCUCACCAAGCCGACGAUCCAUAGCUGGUUUGAGAGGAUGAUCAGCCACACUGGGACUGAGAUACGGCCCAGACUCC